AUUGAACGCUGGCGGCAUGCUUUACACAUGCAAGUCGGACGGCAGCGGGGUAGUGCUUGCACUACUGCCGGCGAGUGGCGAACGGGUGAGUAAUAUAUUGGAACGUACCGAGUAAUGGGGGAUAACCAAUCGAAAGAUUGGCUAAUACCGCAUACGCUCUGAGGAGGAAAGCAGGGGACCUUCGGGCCUUGCGUUAUUCGAGCGGCCAAUAUCUGAUUAGCUAGUUGGUGGGGUAAGGGCCUACCAAGGCGACGAUCAGUAGCGGGUCUGAGAGGAUGAUCCGCCACACUGGGACUGAGACACGGCCCAGACUCCUACGGGAGGCAGCAGUGGGGAAUUUUGGACAAUGAGCGCAAGCCUGAUCCAGCCAUGCCGCGUGUCUGAAGAAGGCCUUCGGGUUGUAAAGGACUUUUGUUAGGGAAGAAAAAGGAGCGGUUAAUACCCGUUUCUGCUGACGGUACCUAAAGAAUAAGCACCGGCUAACUACGUG
This 490-nucleotide ribosomal RNA is filed under the name uncultured bacterium. Its description in RNAcentral is "partial 16S ribosomal RNA". It matches the Rfam family "Bacterial small subunit ribosomal RNA", at positions 30 to 507 of the family's 1533-position model. The record is from RNAcentral.